Pelobates cultripes (western spadefoot toad) is the source of this 367-nucleotide non-coding RNA. The record is from the annotation of a GenBank genome assembly. Lineage: Eukaryota; Metazoa; Chordata; Amphibia; Anura; Pelobatidae.
AAAUUAUUAUUUUAUUAAAGUUCAAAUAUUAUCCACACGACUUUAUUAGAAAACAACGUUGGAAAAAAUACAUUUGGAAUACUUAUCAACAUUAAAACGUGUUCUAAAUCUUCACUGUUACAGUAUUUUUUAAAGGUAUCACAAACACCAAACACCUUUAUCUGCCAUAUAUAUAGAGCAGAUAAAGGUUUUUAUAUAUCAUUUGGCUUACAUUUUAUUUUGCAUUUCAUAUACAACAUAUACAUAACCACAACUAAAUGCAUUUCUUAAUGUCUUAAAUCCCCCCCGACACUCCAAGUCAUUAAAAAAAAAUCUUCAUUCACAUUUUAACUCACAGAACAAACAAUAAUCAGAUUUUUUUUUUUAA